This 219-nucleotide long non-coding RNA is filed under the name Mytilus galloprovincialis (Mediterranean mussel). The record is from RNAcentral. Lineage: Eukaryota; Metazoa; Mollusca; Bivalvia; Mytilida; Mytilidae.
CCUGUUUUACGGCCGGCUAUACAGUAUAGAUUGGUAUACGAUCUUCUGAUUGUUGAAGGCCGUGUGGUGGCAUAUAAUUGAUCUAUACCACUCAAUUCUAUUUGAACUCUGGUGCAAAGUUGUCCUAUUGUCAAUCAUACCUAAUCUCAGCAUAUACAUGUAUGCCGUGUAUACAAUACCCGACAAGUUUAUGCGAACAGCAAUGAUACUAUUUUUGUU